Long non-coding RNA from Cyprinus carpio (common carp), 377 nucleotides. RefSeq lists it as uncharacterized. NCBI's taxonomy places the organism in Eukaryota, Metazoa, Chordata, Actinopteri, Cypriniformes, Cyprinidae. The record is from RefSeq and is a predicted model, not a curated record. The transcript has 3 exons.
CCUGAGCCAGAGACUUCACACUCACACUGGGCUUGACUGACAGAUGGCCAGGUUGAACUACAUUUCCCAGCAGGCCGUGGGGCCAGAGCUCAAAGCCCUAAAGAGGUUUAAGUUCAGAGGAUCAAACGACAGCUGGAGACCGAAACACAGCAGAGAGAGCGACAGCCGACAUGCCUCUCAAACGAGAAGAUACGGAGCGAGCGCUGCAGGCGAUGGAAGCCUGUCAAUCAGCAGGUGAUGAAGGUUUCAGGAGUCGUGCUGAAAGACUCUUGACCAUCUUUCAGAGUGACCUGUUUCAGGCUCUGCUGGAUAUUCAGGAGUUUUAUGAGCUGACAGUGUUUGAGAAUCAGACGCUCACACCGGGACUGGUGAGUGUG